This 460-nucleotide ribosomal RNA is filed under the name uncultured bacterium. RNAcentral's name for it is "partial 16S ribosomal RNA". It matches the Rfam family "Bacterial small subunit ribosomal RNA", at positions 338 to 795 of the family's 1533-position model. The record is from RNAcentral.
CCUACGGGUGGCAGCAGUGAGGAAUAUUGGGCAAUGGGCGCGAGCCUGACCCAGCCAAGUAGCGUGAAGGAUGACUGCCCUACGGGUUGUAAACUUCUUUUAUAAAGGAAUAAAGUGAGGCACGUGUGCCUUUUUGUAUGUACUUUAUGAAUAAGGAUCGGCUAACUCCGUGCCAGCAGCCGCGGUAAUACGGAGGGUCCGAGCGUUAUCCGGAUUUAUUGGGCUUAAAGGGAGCGUAGAUGGGUAGUUAAGUCAGUUGUGAAAGUUUGCGGCUCAACCGGAAAAUUGCAAUUGAUACUGGCAGUCUUGAGUACAGUUGAGGUAGGGGGAAUUCGUGGUGUAGCGGUGAAAUGCGUAGAUAUCACGAAGAACUUCGAUGGCGAAGGCAGCUUACUAAACUGCCACUGACAUUGAUGAUCGAAAGUGUGGGUAUCAAACAGGAUUAGAUACCCGAGUAGUC